GAUGAACGCUGGCGGCGUGCCUAAUACAUGCAAGUCGAGCGAACAGACGAGGAGCUUGCUCCUCUGACGUUAGCGGCGGACGGGUGAGUAACACGUGGAUAACCUACCUAUAAGACUGGGAUAACUUCGGGAAACCGGAGCUAAUACCGGAUAAUAUAUUGAACUGCAUGGUUCAAUAGUGAAAGACGGUUUUGCUGUCACUUUAGAUGGAUCCGCGCCGCAUUAGCUAGUUGGUAAGGUAACGGCUUACCAAGGCAACGAUGCGUAGCCGACCUGAGAGGGUGAUCGGCCACACUGGAACUGAGACACGGUCCAGACUCCUACGGGAGGCAGCAGUAGGGAAUCUUCCGCAAUGGGCGAAAGCUUGACGGAGCAACGCCGCGUGAGUGAUGAAGGUCUUCGGAUCGUAAAACUCUGUUAUUAGGGAAGAACAAAUGUGUAAGUAACUAUGCACGUCUUGACGGUACCUAAUCAGAAAGCCACGGCUAACUACGUG
This 496-nucleotide ribosomal RNA is filed under the name uncultured bacterium. RNAcentral's name for it is "partial 16S ribosomal RNA". It matches the Rfam family "Bacterial small subunit ribosomal RNA", at positions 28 to 507 of the family's 1533-position model. The record is from RNAcentral.